RNAcentral lists this ribosomal RNA (1355 nucleotides) under Bacillus subtilis. RNAcentral describes it as "bacterial SSU rRNA". It matches the Rfam family "Bacterial small subunit ribosomal RNA", at positions 24 to 1362 of the family's 1533-position model. Lineage: Bacteria; Bacillati; Bacillota; Bacilli; Caryophanales; Bacillaceae. The record is from RNAcentral.
UCAGGACGAACGCUGGCGGCGUGCCUAAUACAUGCAAGUCGAGCGGACAGAUGGGAGCUUGCUCCCUGAUGUUAGCGGCGGACGGGUGAGUAACACGUGGGUAACCUGCCUGUAAGACUGGGAUAACUCCGGGAAACCGGGGCUAAUACCGGAUGGUUGUUUGAACCGCAUGGUUCAAACAUAAAAGGUGGCUUCGGCUACCACUUACAGAUGGACCCGCGGCGCAUUAGCUAGUUGGUGAGGUAACGGCUCACCAAGGCGACGAUGCGUAGCCGACCUGAGAGGGUGAUCGGCCACACUGGGACUGAGACACGGCCCAGACUCCUACGGGAGGCAGCAGUAGGGAAUCUUCCGCAAUGGACGAAAGUCUGACGGAGCAACGCCGCGUGAGUGAUGAAGGUUUUCGGAUCGUAAAGCUCUGUUGUUAGGGAAGAACAAGUACCGUUCGAAUAGGGCGGUACCUUGACGGUACCUAACCAGAAAGCCACGGCUAACUACGUGCCAGCAGCCGCGGUAAUACGUAGGUGGCAAGCGUUGUCCGGAAUUAUUGGGCGUAAAGGGCUCGCAGGCGGUUUCUUAAGUCUGAUGUGAAAGCCCCCGGCUCAACCGGGGAGGGUCAUUGGAAACUGGGGAACUUGAGUGCAGAAGAGGAGAGUGGAAUUCCACGUGUAGCGGUGAAAUGCGUAGAGAUGUGGAGGAACACCAGUGGCGAAGGCGACUCUCUGGUCUGUAACUGACGCUGAGGAGCGAAAGCGUGGGGAGCGAACAGGAUUAGAUACCCUGGUAGUCCACGCCGUAAACGAUGAGUGCUAAGUGUUAGGGGGUUUCCGCCCCUUAGUGCUGCAGCUAACGCAUUAAGCACUCCGCCUGGGGAGUACGGUCGCAAGACUGAAACUCAAAGGAAUUGACGGGGGCCCGCACAAGCGGUGGAGCAUGUGGUUUAAUUCGAAGCAACGCGAAGAACCUUACCAGGUCUUGACAUCCUCUGACAAUCCUAGAGAUAGGACGUCCCCUUCGGGGGCAGAGUGACAGGUGGUGCAUGGUUGUCGUCAGCUCGUGUCGUGAGAUGUUGGGUUAAGUCCCGCAACGAGCGCAACCCUUGAUCUUAGUUGCCAGCAUUCAGUUGGGCACUCUAAGGUGACUGCCGGUGACAAACCGGAGGAAGGUGGGGAUGACGUCAAAUCAUCAUGCCCCUUAUGACCUGGGCUACACACGUGCUACAAUGGACAGAACAAAGGGCAGCGAAACCGCGAGGUUAAGCCAAUCCCACAAAUCUGUUCUCAGUUCGGAUCGCAGUCUGCAACUCGACUGCGUGAAGCUGGAAUCGCUAGUAAUCGCGGAUCAACAUGCCGCGG